Molecule: non-coding RNA, 30 nt
Filed under: Mus musculus (house mouse)
Lineage: Eukaryota; Metazoa; Chordata; Mammalia; Rodentia; Muridae
Source: RNAcentral
UAUGAAUAGCCCAGUCAGUGUUAACAGGCC